Long non-coding RNA from Amblyraja radiata (thorny skate), 180 nucleotides. RefSeq lists it as uncharacterized. The record is from RefSeq and is a predicted model, not a curated record. The transcript has 3 exons. Lineage: Eukaryota; Metazoa; Chordata; Chondrichthyes; Rajiformes; Rajidae.
GGUUCACAAUCUCUUAUCCGAAAACCUUGGGACCAGACACUUUUCGGAUUUCGGAAUUUUUCGGAUUUCGGAAUGGAAGAUUUUUAGCGUAGAUUUUAACUUUUAACGGGUGGCUCAGUGCUCGGCUCGUGGCUGCAAGGUCGUGAGUUUGCGCCUCGAUCCCGGCAACUACUCGGUGAG